AGAGUUUGAUCCUGGCUCAGGAUGAACGCUGGCGGCGUGCCUAAUACACGCAAGUCGAGCGAACCACUUCGGUGGUGAGCGGCGAACGGGUGAGUAACACGUAGGUGAUCUGCCCAUCAGACGGGGACAACGAUUGGAAACGAUCGCUAAUACCGGAUAGGACGAAAGUUUAAAGGUGCUCCUGGCACCGCUGAUGGAUGAGCCUGCGGCGCAUUAGCUAGUUGGUAGGGUAAAGGCCUACCAAGGCGACGAUGCGUAGCCGACCUGCGAGGGUGAACGGCCACACUGGGACUGAGACACGGCCCAGACUCCUACGGGAGGCAGCAGUAGGGAAUCUUCGGCAAUGGGCGAAAGCCUGACCGAGCAACGCCGCGUGAAUGAUGAAGGCCUUCGGGUUGUAAAAUUCUGUUAUAAGGGGAGAACGACUUUAGUAGGAAAUGGCUAAAGUGUGACGGUACCUUAUGAGAAAGCCACGGCUAACUACGUGCCAGCAGCCGCGGUAAUACGUAGGUGGCAAGCGUUAUCCGGAAUUAUUGGGCGUAAAGAGCGCGCAGGUGGUUGAUUAAGUCUGAUGUGAAAGCCCACGGCUUAACCGUGGAGGGUCAUUGGAAACUGGUCGACUUGAGUGCAGAAGAGGGAAGUGGAAUUCCAUGUGUAGCGGUGAAAUGCGUAGAGAUAUGGAGGAACACCAGUGGCGAAG
This 700-nucleotide ribosomal RNA is filed under the name uncultured bacterium. RNAcentral's name for it is "bacterial SSU rRNA". It matches the Rfam family "Bacterial small subunit ribosomal RNA", at positions 8 to 720 of the family's 1533-position model. The record is from RNAcentral.